CUUUAACAAUCCGGAACAAGCUGAAAAUUUGAAAACAAUGAAUAACGCGAGUUAUUCAGAGUCUCUCAAAAACUUUUACGAUUCAUAGUCGUUGCAAGACGUCUGUGG
Non-coding RNA from Tatumella morbirosei, 108 nucleotides. It matches the Rfam family "Salmonella enterica Typhi npcRNA 44". The record is from Rfam. NCBI's taxonomy places the organism in Bacteria, Pseudomonadati, Pseudomonadota, Gammaproteobacteria, Enterobacterales, Erwiniaceae.